GGCUAACGCUGGCGGCGUGUCUUAGCCAUGCAAGUCGAGCGGACUUAUGGGGUAACUUAUAAGUCAGCGGCGGACGGCGGAGUAACACGUAGCUAACCUACCCUCUGGACGGGGAUAACCUGCCGAAAGGUGGGCUAAUACCCGAUGUAGUCAUCCUGUAUAGGGGUGAUGAAAGGUGGGCUUCUGUUUACAAGCUCAUGCUGGAGGAGGGGGCUGCGGCCUAUCAGGUAGUUGGUAGGGUAAUAGCCUACCAAGCCGAUGACGGGUAGCCGGCCUGAGAGGGUGACCGGCCCGAAGGGGCACUGAGAUACGGGUCCCACUCCUACGGGAGGCAGCAGGCUAGAAAUUUGGGCAAUGGGGGAAACCCUGACCCAGUGACGCCGCGUGCAGGAAGGAGCCCUUCGGGGUGUAAACUGCUGUCGUGUAGGGAGAAGGGUACUAAGGUGAACAAUCUUAGUACUUGACGGUACUACAGGAGGAAGCCCAGGCUAACCUCGUG
Molecule: ribosomal RNA, 499 nt
Filed under: uncultured bacterium
Lineage: Bacteria
Description: bacterial SSU rRNA
Rfam family: Bacterial small subunit ribosomal RNA
Source: RNAcentral